ACUCGGGUACCACGCACUCUCUCAAUCAAGCUCGGGUACCACGCACUCUCUCAAUUUUAUAACAACAUCAAAACUUCCUCUCUCAAUACAAACUGAAAAACCCAGCUGAUAAACUUCAUUCCCACAGCUACUCUCUCAUCACUCACUCUCUCAAUCUGCCUCACUCUCUCAAUCUCCCUCUCAACUCUCUUUGACUUGGUCAAUCUCGCUAUCAAACUCUCCCACACGCUCUCAAUCUCCCUUUCAGUCUCGCUCUCGCUCUCAUUCUCCGUCUCCCUCUCGCUCUGUUGCUCGGUCUCCCUCUCGCUCUGUUGCUCACGCUCUCGGUCUCCCUCUCACAAGGUUUUGGGCUAUUCCUGAUCCGGAUAAGCUGGAUGAGGAGGCUUCAUCAGUGGAGAAACGUAAAUCAAGAGCUCUUAAUCCCACAGACGACUGUGAGAAGAAGGCAAGUCUGAAGAAUAUUUUUAUCAUAGGCUCCACUGCCUUUGUUAACAAAUAAUAUUCUUCAAAUUAUUACAGGAUGUGAUUGUUCGGACGGGGGACAUACUUUCUCAAGUUUCACAAACACAUGAUGUGAUCAUGAAAACUUUGCUGAUAAUGUUUCACUAAGCCAUCAAAUAUCAGAAGUCUGGGCUGUAAGCAGGAACUUAACUAUUCUUUUACAUGUAAAUUCAGUUAAAUCUAGUUAAGCCAGCUAAUUAAUGUUCCAGAAUAAAUCAGGACCCAAGGAACUAACUGAUCAGAAUUACAUAUUGUUUAGAAUAAAUCAUCUGAUUAAAAUUUAUUCUCUGAGCCUAUGCAGUUUUAAUCCUUUGAUUAAAAUUUCUUCUCUGAGCUUAUUUAGUUUUACUUCUGUAUUUUGCAAAAUCAUAUAGAAGGAUCUCAUGAAUUGUCAACAAAAAGUCAAGUAUACUUUUCAACAGCUGUUGCUAAGUGGGAUGCUGAUUUCUAUAUAAAAGUUGAUGAUGAUGUUCACAUAAAUCUUGGAAUUUUAUCAUUGGUACUUGUUUUAAGAAAAUCUCAAAAAGCUCCAUUUAUUUUUCAAGCAAGCCAAUGGAGGAAGAUGUAUGGAAUGGUGAAACAUGACAUGAAUUUGAGAAAAAGAUGAAAAUACGUACUGUUUCAUGACCUUGUAAUUUAUAUUAAGAGGCCAGCAUUUUACAUAGAGGAGUGGCACUUCAAGAACAAGCCUAUUAUCGUGGUGAUGAACCCAAAAGGGAAGAUGGAGUGCCCAAAUGCAAUCCAUAUGAUUUGGGUAUGGGGAAUGAGGGCCUUUCCUUUCAGUAGCUCUGUUGAAGAAGCUCUGUCAAAUGGAAGAGACUGGAUGGGAUCCAUAGUGAGCAGACACUUAGCCGUGAUGUUUAUCGUCUUGGACGUCGAUUUGACUUCUAUAGGACGUCUUGUAUUGCUACUAAAUAAUGUUAUUAUGUUUAAGACUUUUCUUUUUAUGCUAAUAUAGUGUUUAAGAUUUUUUUGGUUAGUAACCAAUGCCACUAGUAUGAGGGUGGGUGUGUGUUUGAGACUUGAGUAAUGCUUCAAAAAAAGACAUCUUGAUUAAUUUGGUGA
This is a long non-coding RNA of Quercus lobata, 1566 nucleotides long. RefSeq lists it as uncharacterized. NCBI's taxonomy places the organism in Eukaryota, Viridiplantae, Streptophyta, Magnoliopsida, Fagales, Fagaceae. The record is from RefSeq and is a predicted model, not a curated record. The transcript has 6 exons.